Molecule: long non-coding RNA, 375 nt
Filed under: Caenorhabditis briggsae
Lineage: Eukaryota; Metazoa; Nematoda; Chromadorea; Rhabditida; Rhabditidae
Description: lncRNA CBG10124
Source: RNAcentral
GCCCACCGAUGGAUUCCAACGCCUCACAUUUCUACCUAAAGCUGAAAACCAAAAGUUUUCGGCGGAUAGCUACAGAAGCGGAGCUCGGAAUUCGGUGACAACUAAACCCUUCACCGUCUCCACUGGCCACACGACAAGUGAAAGAAACAGCACCGACAGAAAAACGAAAAGAAAAAAAACAACCAAGAGCAACUUCUCGAUUGGACUGUCGUCUAAUGGAUAUAGAGAGGGAGAAAUGCGACGAAAAUAUCGAGUCCAAGGAGCCAGGAGACAAACAUGUUAAUUUUUUUUCUUUUUUCUUUUUUUUAUGUUCUUUUCACUUCAUUUUUUUUUUGUCCUUUUUAUUAAUUUUCAAUAAAUUUUUAAUGGUAAACA